GACGGAGGAUGCAAGCGUUAUCCGGAAUUAUUGGGCGUAAAGCUUACGCAGGCGGCUUAUCCAGUCUGGGGUCAAAGACCACAGCUUAACUGUGGAAAGGCCUUGGAAACUGGUGAGCUGGAGUGAGGUAGGGGUUGCGGGAAUUCCCGGUGUAGCGGUGAAAUGCGUAGAUAUCGGGAAGAACACCUGAGGCGAAAGCGCGCGACUGGGCCUUAACUGACGCUGAGGUACGAAAGCUAGGUGAGCGAAUGGG
Molecule: ribosomal RNA, 253 nt
Filed under: uncultured bacterium
Lineage: Bacteria
Description: partial 16S ribosomal RNA
Rfam family: Bacterial small subunit ribosomal RNA
Source: RNAcentral